Molecule: ribosomal RNA, 450 nt
Filed under: uncultured bacterium
Lineage: Bacteria
Description: bacterial SSU rRNA
Rfam family: Bacterial small subunit ribosomal RNA
Source: RNAcentral
GUGGGGAAUCUUCCGCAAUGGACGAAAGUCUGACGGAGCAACGCCGCGUGAGUGAUGACGGCCUUCGGGUUGUAAAACUCUGUUAUACGGGACGAAUGGACGAGAGGCCAAUACCCUUUCGGAGUGACGGUACCGUAAGAGAAAGCCACGGCUAACUACGUGCCAGCAGCCGCGGUAAUACGUAGGUGGCAAGCGUUGUCCGGAAUUAUUGGGCGUAAAGGGCGCGCAGGUGGUUUCUUAAGUCUGUCUUAAAAGUGCGGGGCUUAACCCCGUGAGGGGACGGAAACUGGGAGACUAGAGUAUCGGAGAGGAAAGCGGAAUUCCUAGUGUAGCGGUGAAAUGCGUAGAUAUUAGGAGGAACACCAGUGGCGAAAGCGGCUUUCUGGACGACAACUGACACUGAGGCGCGAAAGCCAGGGGAGCAAACGGGAUUAGAAACCCCAGUAGUCC